This 262-nucleotide long non-coding RNA is filed under the name Linum usitatissimum (flax). Its description in RNAcentral is "long non-coding RNA (LUSI_LNC000694)". Lineage: Eukaryota; Viridiplantae; Streptophyta; Magnoliopsida; Malpighiales; Linaceae. The record is from RNAcentral.
AUAAUAUAUUUGUCUUUGUAAGGACCAGUGCUUACGCACGAAGCUUCCAUCAGAUCUCCACCAAAUCAUUAUUCCAAAAUCUCACCACCACUACAAAUACACCCUCUCCACCUCGCUUCACUUCUUCACUUUUCCCAUUCCCCCAAAACCAAAAGCAAUGGCCAAAUACUCUCUCCUCUUUCUCCUCCUCCUCACCUCAGCCCUCUCCUCCACCAUCUCCGCCGCAACGGCAAAACCCCCCACCUUCAAGGUGAAACCCCGC